Molecule: ribosomal RNA, 460 nt
Filed under: uncultured bacterium
Lineage: Bacteria
Description: partial 16S ribosomal RNA
Rfam family: Bacterial small subunit ribosomal RNA
Source: RNAcentral
CCUACGGGAGGCUGCAGUGAGGAAUAUUGGUCAAUGGACGAGAGUCUGAACCAGCCAAGUAGCGUGAAGGAUGACUGCCCUAUGGGUUGUAAACUUCUUUUAUAUGGGAAUAAAAUGUUCCACGUGUGGGAUUUUGUAUGUACCAUAUGAAUAAGGAUCGGCUAACUCCGUGCCAGCAGCCGCGGUAAUACGGAGGAUCCGAGCGUUAUCCGGAUUUAUUGGGUUUAAAGGGAGCGUAGGUGGUUUGUUAAGUCAGUUGUGAAAGUUUGCGGUUCAACCGUAAAAUUGCAGUUGAAACUGGCAGUCUUGAGUACAGUAGAGGUGGGCGGAAUGCGUGGUGUAGCGGUGAAAUGCUUAGAUAUCACGAAGAACUCCGAUUGCGAAGGCAGUUCACUGGACUGCAACUGACACUGAGGCUCGAAAGUGUGGGUAUCAAACAGGAUUAGAGACCCGUGUAGUC